Molecule: ribosomal RNA, 267 nt
Filed under: uncultured bacterium
Lineage: Bacteria
Description: partial 16S ribosomal RNA
Rfam family: Bacterial small subunit ribosomal RNA
Source: RNAcentral
GUCCACGCCGUAAACGAUGAUAACUAGCUGUCCGGGCACUUGGUGCCUGGGUGGCGCAGCUAACGCAUUAAGUUAUCCGCCUGGGGAGUACGGUCGCAAGAUUAAAACUCAAAGGAAUUGACGGGGGCCUGCACAAGCGGUGGAGCAUGUGGUUUAAUUCGAAGCAACGCGCAGAACCUUACCAGCGUUUGACAUGCCUAGUUUGGUUUCCAGAGAUGGAUUCCUUCAGUUCGGCUGGCUAGGACACAGGUGCUGCAUGGCUGUCGU